This 164-nucleotide ribosomal RNA is filed under the name Gentiana macrophylla. RNAcentral describes it as "5.8S ribosomal RNA". It matches the Rfam family "5.8S ribosomal RNA". Rfam says of the family: 5.8S ribosomal RNA (5.8S rRNA) is a component of the large subunit of the eukaryotic ribosome. Lineage: Eukaryota; Viridiplantae; Streptophyta; Magnoliopsida; Gentianales; Gentianaceae. The record is from RNAcentral.
AAAACGACUCUCGGCAACGGAUAUCUCGGCUCUCGCAUCGAUGAAGAACGUAGCGAACUGCGAUACUUGGUGUGGAUUGCAGAAUCCCGUGAACCAUCGAGUCUUUGAACGCAAGUUGCGCCCGAAGCCAUUAGGCCGAGGGCACGUCUGCCUGGGCGUCACGC